Molecule: long non-coding RNA, 2270 nt
Organism: Brienomyrus brachyistius
Lineage: Eukaryota; Metazoa; Chordata; Actinopteri; Osteoglossiformes; Mormyridae
Exons: 4
Source: RefSeq, a predicted model, not a curated record
GCAUCAUUAAAAACAUGCUGAUGUUUUUUAUCUGGGCAAUUAUUAAGGUAUCUAGAGUGCAUUAGUUCACGGAGCCCCUGGAAAUCUACUGACGGAGUUCCUGGAAAUCUACUGACGGAGUUCCUGGAAAUCUACUGACGGAGUUCCUGGAAAUCUACUGACGGAGUUCCUGGAAAUCUACUGACGGAGUUCCUGGAAAUCUACUGACGGAGUUCCUGGAAAUCUACUGACGGAGCCUUCAUAGGCCCUCAUGUUAAGAAGAGCCUGGGUUAGAGGUUUGGAGGACCCCCAGAAGAAGAAGAGAGAGAACUCAUGCACGACUGUUCAUGAAUUCACAACAUCAAACACUGCAUUACCAACUUAUUUGCAAGACUUUCACAUGGAGAUUAGCAAUGUUGUUGCCUUCUCAAAUGUCUUGCCCCAGGCCUAUCUCCUGUGAAAAUGGGCUCUCUUGUCGCUUUCCCAUAUUAUGGCCGACAAGAAGAGGCCUACAUUUAAAUCCAGAAGCCCUGUUAAAAUCUGGCAGCUGGGAAAGGUAGAGACAAGCCUUUGGCUCACACUUAGCUGACAGCAAAAAUAAGCCUCAAGCCCAAACAGAUGAGUGAGAGAGGUACGAGAGAUGGCUCAUGUGAGCUGGCUCGCCACCAUCCAUUUUAGCAUCCAUCUUUGGCCAGCCAUGGUCAUCCUUAAAAAUAUCACUAUGUGGGCAUGAGACUGAAUGAAGAUGGCGGCUAUGUGACUCGGAACAAAGAGUAAGAUUGGUCUCGCUUAUCCUAAGACUGUGUAAUACAAUGACGGAAGCAACAACGCCCAAGAAGAGUUGUACUUUUUGCAGACUGGCCUGGGAAUUUGCUGUCAAGAAGCCCUCAAUUUGAUAUUUUGCAAGGGUCCCUCUUGGUAUGUUUUGCUGCCAAGCGGGGGGGGGGAGAGGGGGAGUUUCCCUUGACAUAGCCCUCAUUAAACUGGCCCCCCGGGAAAUUUCCCGAUCUUCGCGAUGGCCAGUCCGAUGCUUGCCUCAUGUAUAAAUAAUUACCAAAAUACAAGAAACUCCUGACUUAAUGAAUGAUACCAAAAGUACAGACAUGAUUUCAUAAAGUUAGUAACUAUCAUCCAAUCAGAGGAAAGUAAGCGAGGAGUGAGGGAGGGCGUGUUCAAAAACCGAUGCAAAGGGUAUAGAUAGCUGACCUCACAAACAGGACGCUGGCUAAGAAGCUGUUUAUAUCCUGAGGGAAAGACAUCACAAGAAUGAGACAACUGUGAACAGGAGUGCUUACUCUGUGAAUGUGAUGUCCUUGAAUUAGUCUUAGAUCUGAUGCAAGGUGAGCAACUCUGAAUCAGAUUACUGCAAAAGUCAAUUUAAGGCACAAGUAAGCAGUUCCAUUCAGUACAGUCCAUCAAGGUUUUCAAGGAGAUACUGUGGUCCACACACCCCCCCAUUACACUUAGUAAUGCAUUUGUGAAGCCAAGGGAUGGAGGUAGUGAUCUACUGAAGAAAUAAAUAAAGUCUUAUGCUUAUAUUAAUCAUUCUUCAUCUUGUUCUCAGUAGAUGAAGACCUUGGUGGAAGAUGGCAAGAAAACUCCACUGCCUUGAAUAAUUAUUCCUCACAAAAUCAGGUUCUGGUGAUUCUAUUAUUCUGCUUCCGGGAUGGUUUCCACUGUCUAUUCAGUGACGCAGAGUGGAAGGUAAAGGUCAAUUCCGUUCUGUCUUCAUCAAAUGGUGGAGCAUCUUUGUCUUAAUGGGAAUGGAACGUUCCAGAUGACAGUGCUGCUGUCCAUGUUGCAUGAGUGGACAGUAAAUGGUUUGAUGGGCAUGAGAACGGCACAAGUCUCACAUCAUGAAGAUUUCAGGUGCUGGGAAAGAUACCGUUACUGACUCUAUGCCUCCUGGGUCUUGGUGUUUUAUUACGGCAGGUACCUGUUUAUAUGUUUCAAUGCGUGGUGCGUGUGUAGUUUCAAUGUUGCGUUAUACGGCACACCAUAUCCACCGGUCCCACUAACAGAGCAGCCUGGCAGCUGGCUCCUACCCGCCUGCGACACAUCAUUCAGUCUUUCGCUGUGCAUGAUGGCUUUUGGCUUGCCACGGGUAUCACUGUUGCCAACUAGAGCGUAGCGGAUGCUGUAGCGAGAACGUGCGGCGGCCUUGGGGCGGGGGGGGGGGGACAUUGAGGCAGUAUGCGACUGCAUUCCCACCUCCCUGCCACCCCCUCAGCUGUCAGCCAGCUUGUUCCCACGCCUCUCUCCCUGCCUCUGUCCCCAUAGCCCAAGGGAGG